AACACUUCUAUGAUUAUCAUAUUUCUAUCUUUUCUUCUAUCUCUUCUCCCUGUAACAUACAACUGCUUUUUUUCUUCUACAUUUGCAACAAUCUCCAUCGGUUCUCAUUUUUGAAAAGAAUCUUAUUUUUCUCAAAUCUAGCGACUAUGACAAACACUCUAUUGUUAACAAAAAGAAGUUGAUGGCGUUUGAAUUGGGCGGUGGCCGAAAAUCAUAAGACCGAGCGUCGGUCGAAUAUUACAACUUACGGAAGUGCAAAGAAAGUGUUGGUCAAAGUAUGUAAUUUAAAAUGAAUAGUGUUUGGCCGGAGGUGUUAUAGAUCUAUAUAAAGUCGUUGGUCGGCGGUGGUGUUCGUAAGUGGUGGUUGAUGAUGACAUCUAACGGCGGAGUAAGUGGUUACUCCGAGCCGCUGCCGCCAUCCCAUGGGAACAUGCAGACCCAGGCGAUGGAGUAAGUGGUUAUUAACUUUUAGUUGAUGAUGAAGAUAACUUGGGGUUUUUUUUAAUAAAAGAUCUCAUAAUUAACCUCUCUUUAUUACAAAAGCAGAACUCAUUUGAUAUGUUUGAUGGAGACCUGGUUGUUCUAAUGGUUGUUACUGGCGGUGGUAACUGGCGGUCGGCAGUCGUUACCAGUGGUGUGACAUGUUGGACAUAUUAUCUUUAGUGGUUCAUCAGAUUCGCCGCGGACGUCGCAGCCGCCGUUAUUCGAUGCGGGUGGGUGUUGCCAGUGGUGGUUACCGGCGGUGGUUAUGGAUGAUUUCCGGUGGUUACAGAAGAUUUCUUCAUGUAUUUGUGUAUACUUUUUGGGUAUAUUUUAAUGCUUUAGAAGUUGUACUUUGUAUUUAAGAAAUUGUACUAUAUUUUGUAAC
Erigeron canadensis is the source of this 868-nucleotide long non-coding RNA. RefSeq lists it as uncharacterized. NCBI's taxonomy places the organism in Eukaryota, Viridiplantae, Streptophyta, Magnoliopsida, Asterales, Asteraceae. The record is from RefSeq and is a predicted model, not a curated record. The transcript has 2 exons.